RNAcentral lists this ribosomal RNA (253 nucleotides) under uncultured bacterium. RNAcentral describes it as "partial 16S ribosomal RNA". It matches the Rfam family "Bacterial small subunit ribosomal RNA", at positions 524 to 776 of the family's 1533-position model. The record is from RNAcentral.
UACAGAGGUCCCAAGCGUUGUUCGGAUUCACUGGGCGUAAAGGGUGCGUAGGUGGUUGGGUAAGUCUGAUGUGAAAUCUCCGAGCUUAACUCGGAAACUGCAUUGGAAACUACUUGACUAGAGGGUUGGAGGGGGGACUGGAAUACUUGGUGUAGCAGUGAAAUGCGUAGAUAUCAAGUGGAACACCAGUGGCGAAGGCGAGUCCCUGGACAACUCCUGACACUGAGGCACGAAAGCUAGGGGAGCAAACAGG